Molecule: long non-coding RNA, 1187 nt
Organism: Melanotaenia boesemani (Boeseman's rainbowfish)
Lineage: Eukaryota; Metazoa; Chordata; Actinopteri; Atheriniformes; Melanotaeniidae
Exons: 4
Source: RefSeq, a predicted model, not a curated record
CCAGUACUUACAUACUUUCUGCUUUCUGUCAGUAUCUGGCACAACCUGGAAGCUGAGGUUCAUGGCAGAUUUAUAUCUCUAGUUUCAGAGUUUAGCUCUUAAUUUCUCAGAGUUUUUAAAGGUUAAACCUGAUGACAGAGGAGUAUGGAACAACUUUUUUUUCUUGUGAUGUUAACAGGAGGAGCCCAUGCAUUCUUACCAGUUUCUGAAACUAGAUGUAAUGCCACAGAGAUCAAACUCCCAUGCACUCCUGUUCUUGGAGGGUCUGUGUAUAUCCAACUUAUGACUAAUGCAAGCUCCUACGAACUCCACUGUAAGAAGGUACUUCACAAUGAAAACACAAAAGUUUUCUCUUCAGGGAAUGGAAAGGUGACGAUAGAGGUUGCAUUCAGAGAAAGAAUUGAGUUUUUCAUUGACAUCGGGACACUCAAGAUCACCAAUGUGGAGAAGAGUGAUUCUGGUCAAUACAUCGUAGAAGUCUAUGAUCAGGAUGGGAUACGUGGGAAAAGCAUAAGUUUUAACCUGGAAGUAAGAGAAGACAUAUUUCAAAUUGUCAUCCCUGUCUGCAUUGCACUCGGUGUGCUCCUGAUCGUGCUGUUAUGUUUCUGUGUGUGUGGAAAGGUCAUGCAUCGUAGGAAAUGAGGUUAAGGUGACAGUUAAGACAGUCUGUGGGAGUCGGAACAUGAAUAAACUCAACUGAAGGCAAUUUUCAGCAGGUGCUGCACAAAGAUAAAAAAAAACAAAACACAAAAGAUAUAUAAAAGAUACAUAAAAGAUCAUGUGUUGCUGAGUUCACUAAUAGUUUUAUUUGAUCUGCUCUUUCUUAUACAAUGAUAACCAACAUAUUGAAAUCUAUAUUUUAAUUUAGACGUUUGAUUCUUUGGUCAAAAAAGUCUGAAUUAAACUUGGUCCUAAUUAAAGGUUUCAAUUUCAGAUCAGUUGGUUUGGUUACAUUUUUGACAAAAAAUAUUAUUUUUUUUAAAUACAAUGCAAAACUGAACUUCUCAAAGUCAGACAAACAUCUAGAUAAUUAAGUUUUACUCCUACACGUAUAUGCUAAACUAGACUAAAACUGAACUUGAUGCUCUGUAUCCUCCUAGAUUUUGACACCACAAGAUUUUUUUCUAUAAUUGUCAUAUGUCCUUUGUGUUGGUGCUUGUAUUGAAAAUAAACUAAAGCAAAGACGA